UCUGCCCAUGCCCGGUGCGGGCGGAGCUUCGUACGCUCCGGAUCCGACGAGCGCACGAGCACCGUGUGCAGCUGCGCGGCGAGCAGAG
RNAcentral lists this transfer RNA (88 nucleotides) under Microbacterium lemovicicum. Its description in RNAcentral is "tRNA-Thr". Lineage: Bacteria; Bacillati; Actinomycetota; Actinomycetes; Micrococcales; Microbacteriaceae. The record is from RNAcentral.